GGGUUGUGAGGUUAAGCGACUAAGCGUACACGGUGGAUGCCCUGGCAGUCAGAGGCGAUGAAGGACGUGCUAAUCUGCGAUAAGCGUCGGUAAGGUGAUAUGAACCGUUAUAACCGGCGAUUUCCGAAUGGGGAAACCCAGUGUGUUUCGACACACUAUCAUUAACUGAAUCCAUAGGUUAAUGAGGCGAACCGGGGGAACUGAAACAUCUAAGUACCCCGAGGAAAAGAAAUCAACCGAGAUUCCCCCAGUAGCGGCGAGCGAACGGGGAGGAGCCCAGAGCCUGAAUCAGUGUGUGUGUUAGUGGAAGCGUCUGGAAAGGCGCGCGAUACAGGGUGACAGCCCCGUACACAAAAAUGCACAUGCUGUGAGCUCGAUGAGUAGGGCGGGACACGUGGUAUCCUGUCUGAAUAUGGGGGGACCAUCCUCCAAGGCUAAAUACUCCUGACUGACCGAUAGUGAACCAGUACCGUGAGGGAAAGGCGAAAAGAACCCCGGCGAGGGGAGUGAAAAAGAACCUGAAACCGUGUACGUACAAGCAGUGGGAGCACAGAGCAAUCUGUGUGACUGCGUACCUUUUGUAUAAUGGGUCAGCGACUUAUAUUCUGUAGCAAGGUUAACCGAAUAGGGGAGCC
This 635-nucleotide ribosomal RNA is filed under the name Escherichia coli. Its description in RNAcentral is "partial 23S ribosomal RNA". It matches the Rfam family "Bacterial large subunit ribosomal RNA", at positions 1 to 667 of the family's 2925-position model. The record is from RNAcentral. Lineage: Bacteria; Pseudomonadati; Pseudomonadota; Gammaproteobacteria; Enterobacterales; Enterobacteriaceae.